RNAcentral lists this ribosomal RNA (405 nucleotides) under Salmonella enterica. RNAcentral describes it as "bacterial SSU rRNA". It matches the Rfam family "Bacterial small subunit ribosomal RNA", at positions 1139 to 1533 of the family's 1533-position model. Lineage: Bacteria; Pseudomonadati; Pseudomonadota; Gammaproteobacteria; Enterobacterales; Enterobacteriaceae. The record is from RNAcentral. RNAcentral also lists the same sequence under 1 other name.
UCAAAGGAGACUGCCAGUGAUAAACUGGAGGAAGGUGGGGAUGACGUCAAGUCAUCAUGGCCCUUACGACCAGGGCUACACACGUGCUACAAUGGCGCAUACAAAGAGAAGCGACCUCGCGAGAGCAAGCGGACCUCAUAAAGUGCGUCGUAGUCCGGAUUGGAGUCUGCAACUCGACUCCAUGAAGUCGGAAUCGCUAGUAAUCGUGGAUCAGAAUGCCACGGUGAAUACGUUCCCGGGCCUUGUACACACCGCCCGUCACACCAUGGGAGUGGGUUGCAAAAGAAGUAGGUAGCUUAACCUUCGGGAGGGCGCUUACCACUUUGUGAUUCAUGACUGGGGUGAAGUCGUAACAAGGUAACCGUAGGGGAACCUGCGGUUGGAUCACCUCCUUACCUGAAAGAA